AACUUGAUGCGUCCACCUCAGCCUCCGCCCGUCGUUCCUCCCUUCGUUGCUCUCCACACUACUCCGGUGAGUAAUAUAUAUCACACAUGCAUGUUAUUUAGCUAUUUAACUUUGUCUCAUGCAAUCGCUGCUCCUGUGUGUAGCCUCAGUCGGUGGGUUCGAACCACGUGCCAAACGAGCAUGGGGGACUGUCGCCGCCGUCACAUGGGUGGCUCGGGUACCCACCUCCACCGCCGCCUCAGUGAGUAACGUCGUCGAAGAAGUUGUCAUGUAUUCCUUCUCUUCGUGUCAUGGACUUGGACUUGUUGUGUGGAACUUCAUGUCAUGGACUUGGACUUGUUGUGUGGAACUUCAUGUCAUGGACUUGAACUUGUUGUGUUGAACUUCAUUAGAAUCAAGUUGUUGUAUGGACUUUAAUUUAUCGCCGAAUAAGUGAUGCUAUUAUGAGAUAUAUGUGCUAUUGUGAUAAAUCCUUUGCCGGUGGUGAUAAAAUUGAUGGAAUUGUGAUAUAAAUGGUGCUACUUGUGUUCUU
This 532-nucleotide long non-coding RNA is filed under the name Sorghum bicolor (sorghum). RNAcentral describes it as "long non-coding RNA (SBIC_LNC011634)". The record is from RNAcentral. Lineage: Eukaryota; Viridiplantae; Streptophyta; Magnoliopsida; Poales; Poaceae.